Molecule: ribosomal RNA, 468 nt
Filed under: uncultured bacterium
Lineage: Bacteria
Description: partial 16S ribosomal RNA
Rfam family: Bacterial small subunit ribosomal RNA
Source: RNAcentral
GUCGAACGCUGGCGGCGUGCUUAACACAUGCAAGUCGAACGGAAAGGCCCUGCUUUCGUGGGGUGCUCGAGUGGCGAACGGGUGAGUAACACGGGAGUCACCUGCCCUUGACUUUGGGAUAACUUCAGGAAACUGGGGCUAAUACCGGAUAGGAGCUCCAGCUGCAUGGUGGGGGUUGGAAAGUUUCGGCGGUUGGGGAUGGACUCGCGGUUUAUGAGCUUGUUGGUGGGGUAGUGGCUUACCAAGGCUUUGACGGGUAGCCGGCCUGAGAGGGUGGCCGGACUCCAUAGGACUGAGCUACGGCCCAGACUGCUACGGGAGGCAGUGGGGGGGAGAAUUGCCCAGGGGGCGGAAGCGUGAUGCAGCAACGCUGGGUUCGGGAUGACGGACAUCGUGUUGUAAACCGCAUUCGCCUGUAACGAUGCGGGAGUGACGUUAAUGGGUAAAGAAGCACCGGCUAACUACGUG